AGUCAAUCAUAUUAAAAUUAUAGUUUUAGAAGGGUAUUGCCUAUGGAGACUUUACUCCGGCAAGCAUGUAAAGAAACACAUUGCCAGGGAAAAAUUUUACAAGACUGCAAAAGACUUGAGAACCUCCCGCAACAAAGCAUGUGAGGCCUGUUUGGACUUUGGACAGCCAACCAUUCAACAGAAACAACAAGGUGAACUGAGAUGAAGAUUUCAGAGUGCUUUCAUAAGAUUAAAGGUCCAAGGAAUUCACUCCACAUUUUUGCUCACAGCUCCUCCAUGUGGAAUGCACAAGAGAGAUCCCAAUAUUUCCUUCAAGUAUUCUAGAUAUGAUCCUCCUGUGCUCAACUUACCUCCUUCAGAUUGAAGGUCAAUGUAUACAAGGAACUCGCCUGCAAUUCUUUAAAUCAUGGGGCAAGAUGAUCAGUCUCUCUCAAUUGCAUGUUAUUCACAAAGCCUCCCUAAGACUGAAUGUUCUAGCUAUGUCCCUGGCAUUGUCAUAAUCAUUCAGCUCAACCAGCAUCUUCUUCAAUCUACGGGCCAGUCCAUUGGUCUCAGUUUCAGUCACACCUGAUGCAUACUUUUUCUCCAAUGUCCUUCCCAAUGACCUUACGUGAUCCACCAAAGGUCGCAACUUAUGGCUGUGGUCCCCAGUAACACUUGGACCAGCCCACACACCAGAUAUAGAAGCGAUGAUUCUUUCGGUUCUUGUAACAGCAUCAUGAACAUUAGAUGCAAUACUUCGAACAUGAGGUAGAACCUUCCCACACAAAAGCUCAUCAAGAGCAAGCUUCUCCAGAAUUGGCAAUGCCAGGAUAUCUUUCCAUAAGCAGAUAUUUUUCAUCAAACGAACUGACAUCCCAAACCGAUAUGCAGCUACUCG
Molecule: unclassified non-coding RNA, 880 nt
Filed under: Hevea brasiliensis (rubber tree)
Lineage: Eukaryota; Viridiplantae; Streptophyta; Magnoliopsida; Malpighiales; Euphorbiaceae
Source: RNAcentral